UGUCCAUCAAUCUAUCGUUCCAAAAUACAUUCUUCAAAACUAAUGGGGCUGAAAUACUCUCUAAAAAUUGGAAACCCCUAUAGGAAUAGGUAAUUAACAAAAAACUUCCAUAUUGUUCAUCUUUAUUGUGAAAAUCGCCCAUAUUUCUUUACUUUUUACAUUUCGACUCUCAUAUCGACCAUUCAUUGCUUAAAGCACUUCCUGUUUCAUUCCAUUCAUAUGCUCUGUCAAAUAGCCUCAUGCCAUCCACUUGUGUGAUUUGCUCAAUAAUAAUUUGGUCAAGACACCAAUUACCCAUGUUUCCUGAAAAACUCAAGAAUGGACGGAAUAAAACAAUAGGGGUAUUUUAUGCAAAGAACGGUAUAUUUGAGGGUUUAAAUACCAAAAGUGAAAAGAUAUGAACGAUUUGCAAAAAAAUAAAAAUAAAAAUAAAUAAGGGACAAACGAUAGACACUUUUUGUGAAAUUUUUUCUUUUUAAAUAUCCAAACAAAUAUGAAUUUAUAAUUAUAGGGUCCACAAUGUGAACAAAGGAUUGAUUUUGCUUUAAACGGAACAGUUGUCCUUUGCCAUGCCUUUAUCGUGUCUCAAUAUUUAUACGAAUUUCACCGCCAUUCUUUUGGCUUGCCUAUUGUAAUAAAUCGGCCAUUUCUGCUCUAUUUUCAGCUCUAUCAAGAAUUUUCACGUGGUGACUUUAUGGAAGUAUUCACUAUUCAUGGCAAUAGCCAACCUUAUCGUAAACAAUUUUUUUUUUUUUUUUGGGAUAAUGUUUACAUUUCCAACACACAGAUGCUUUUAUCUGUUUGUUAAUUCUCUUAAAUAUAUAACCGUUUUGGCAACUGUGAAAGCUCAAGGAGAUUGAGAACGGAUCCAUGGUGACAGAGGAGGCGUUUUAGGCGCACACUGUGCGGCUCCAUCGGCAUGGCAACAUAAUCAUCCGUCCGGCCGACGGUGCCACGCUGUGUGCGACUGAAAUACUCCCUCUUAAACAUACGAGUAAUGCUGUUCAUAGGGAGAAUUAUCGAUAGUCGUCCUACGUGACAUACAUGUGACAGUUUGUUAUUUGAUGUGUUAAAAAAUAGCAUUAUUCUUAAUAUAUCGUCUGCCUUCACCAGUGAAUGAGAAGAAGAAGGUGCAUUAGUGAACAGUAUGUAAAUGUUGCGUUCUUAUUUUUCUUCCUUCAUCAGUUUUAAGUCUUUUUGAAGAAGAAAUCUUAAAUAUUCAUUUUUGUAUGGAUAUUUGUUCAAAUAAGCAUCGAUAGCUAGGGCAAUUGUCUCCACUAAACUAAGG
Molecule: long non-coding RNA, 1288 nt
Filed under: Olea europaea subsp. europaea
Lineage: Eukaryota; Viridiplantae; Streptophyta; Magnoliopsida; Lamiales; Oleaceae
Source: RNAcentral